This 734-nucleotide ribosomal RNA is filed under the name Discotylenchus sp. 1 MH-2020. RNAcentral's name for it is "partial large subunit ribosomal RNA". It matches the Rfam family "Eukaryotic large subunit ribosomal RNA", at positions 344 to 961 of the family's 3401-position model. The record is from RNAcentral. Lineage: Eukaryota; Metazoa; Nematoda; Chromadorea; Rhabditida; Tylenchidae.
ACAAGUACCCGUGAGGGAAAGUUGAAAACGACUCUGAAGAGAGAGUUAAAAGCGCGUGAAACCGGUGGGGUGGAAACGGAUAGAGCCGACGUAUACGGCCCGCACUCGGUUGCGCGGUGGUUGCAAGACCACCCCGCACCCUACUUGCGGGUGCAGUGCGCUGAGGGUCGUGACCGCCCGGUUCGAGGCGGGACGUAGUGCGCUUGGCCCUCAAGCCAAGUUGCCCCUCCCGAUCAGGGCUGUGGCAGUUGCGGUUUUAUGUAAGGGAUGCGUUUGCGGCCAGUUGCGUCCGGUUGAGUUGUCGGUGGACGCUUGCGCCCGCUGGCAUGCUCCCCCGCUCGCUCCUGUGCGGCAGCCGUCCCCUCUCGGUGUGAGAGUCGGUCACCUAUCCGACCCGUCUUGAAACACGGACCAAGGAGUUUACCGCAUACGCGAGUCACCGGGAUCCGCGAAUCCCGCGGGCGCAACGAAAGUGAAUCUCGUGUGAUGCGUUCCGUAGUGUGCUAAACCACACGACGGCACGCCGCAGCAUGGCCCUGCGGCAGCCGCCUCGGCGGCGCCGCGGAGGAGGAGCGUAUGCGAUGAGACCCGAAAGAUGGUGAACUAUGCCUGAGCAUGCUGAAGGGAAGGGAAACUUUCCUGGAAGGCUGAAGCGGUUCUGACGUGCAACUCGAUCGUCUGACUUGGGUAUAGGGGCGAAAGACUAAUCGAACCAUCUAGUAGCUGGUUUCCUU